Molecule: ribosomal RNA, 447 nt
Filed under: Escherichia coli
Lineage: Bacteria; Pseudomonadati; Pseudomonadota; Gammaproteobacteria; Enterobacterales; Enterobacteriaceae
Description: bacterial SSU rRNA
Rfam family: Bacterial small subunit ribosomal RNA
Source: RNAcentral
UUGGGUUAAGUCCCGCAACGAGCGCAACCCUUAUCCUUUGUUGCCAGCGGUCCGGCCGGGAACUCAAAGGAGACUGCCAGUGAUAAACUGGAGGAAGGUGGGGAUGACGUCAAGUCAUCAUGGCCCUUACGACCAGGGCUACACACGUGCUACAAUGGCGCAUACAAAGAGAAGCGACCUCGCGAGAGCAAGCGGACCUCAUAAAGUGCGUCGUAGUCCGGAUUGGAGUCUGCAACUCGACUCCAUGAAGUCGGAAUCGCUAGUAAUCGUGGAUCAGAAUGCCACGGUGAAUACGUUCCCGGGCCUUGUACACACCGCCCGUCACACCAUGGGAGUGGGUUGCAAAAGAAGUAGGUAGCUUAACCUUCGGGAGGGCGCUUACCACUUUGUGAUUCAUGACUGGGGUGAAGUCGUAACAAGGUAACCGUAGGGGAACCUGCGGUUGGA